GAAUUGGGGAAGACGAUGCCAAGGUAGUGCCAUUUUUUUGUGAUACUAUGUGGAACGGUUAACAGGGACGCACAGAGGUAAACUACAAGAAGGAAGAAUCAGAAGCAGGUUCGAUUCCAACAGGAUAUGAUAUGGCAAGCUGCCAAGCAUCACUCAUCGCCAAGGCUAAGGUAAGGUGUCCACAAGAAACAAGCGGCUAGACAACAGUGAGUCCAAAAAUAGAGAGCCGACCGCUAGGCUGUGGGCAGCAAGCUGCCAAUCUGGGAAAGAGUACAGCACCAAAACCAAAAGCAUCGACAUCAUCGCCGCCGCCGCCGUGUAUGGAGAGAAACAUAAACACACCAGAGAGUUGAGAGCAGAGCAAGAAGAGAACUUAAAAUGGCAUAAAUCAUAAUCAUACAUGGAGGAGG
This 410-nucleotide long non-coding RNA is filed under the name Zea mays. Its description in RNAcentral is "long non-coding RNA (ZMAY_LNC002079)". Lineage: Eukaryota; Viridiplantae; Streptophyta; Magnoliopsida; Poales; Poaceae. The record is from RNAcentral.